Molecule: long non-coding RNA, 1446 nt
Filed under: Laticauda laticaudata (blue-ringed sea krait)
Lineage: Eukaryota; Metazoa; Chordata; Lepidosauria; Squamata; Elapidae
Description: lncRNA (ENSLLTG00000011952.1)
Source: RNAcentral
AUGGGCAGCGUGGCUGCUGCUUGGGCAAAUGGCUUCGAGCUCCCGUUCCAGGCGGGGCUGGGCCCGUUUGACAGCUUGGCGGGCUCUGGGAGGGCAGCCGCUCUGGGCUUCGGGCUUCCCUGCGCGGGGGUCAGCGCCAGGGAGGGUUUCCCUCUCUCGGGCGAGCAGGGCCGCCUGCAAAAGCGCCUCCGGGGGAGCCAAGGCCCGCUUGCCCCUGGAUCUGCGCCCGGGCAGGGCCGGCAGCCGCCAUCAGAGGCGCUCGAGGACGCCCGCCCUCUGCCGGAUCGCACCAGCGGCUGCACCUUAGGAGGUCCCGGGUCCCCGGCGAAGGAUGCAACCCUCCUCCCACGCGUGGCCCCGAUGGCCGGACGCCUCGUUCCGCACGGGCGGGCGGAGGCCCGGAUCCCCCGCUUCCAGGGGAAGCGCCUCCCUUGGCACCUGCUGGCGGCGCGGCUGCCUGCCAUUCAAUUGAACUGGAACCCGGAGCCGCUCUCGGCCCUUUGCCGACGCCCAGCCGGGCUCGAGUCCACUUUUGGGGAUGCGCCAGACGACGAAAGCAGCCCAACCGUCCGAAGGCGGCUCUCUUCCCGGGGGGACAAGGCAAAGGAGGCGGCCUCGCCCGCCGCGGCGCUUGCCCCCCGACGGGCCUCCGGCAGAGGGCGGGCGGGCAGCCCAAGGCAGGCGCCUGGGCCGGGCGCUGGCGGGGAAAGCGGGUUGGGCCUCCCCCGCCGCCCCGCCCAGCGCCGAGCGGAGGAGACGCGCCCACGGGGAGCCCUCGCAGCCCGCCCGCCCCGCAGCUCCUCCUCCCGCCGCCGCCUGCGCAAAGCCGCCGCCGCCGCCGCCGCCCCGGCCAGGACGACUCCUCCCGGCGAGCUCCGGCAGAGGGAAACCUUGCCGCCCGCGGGUCCGGAGCCUCUGCCGUCCCGCCGCGCCGUCGGCAGAGAUGCCGCUGUAGAGCCGCCGCCGUCCGCACAGGGCCCGGCAUGUCUCCAGCGCUGCUGGCGCUCUGGCUGUGGCUGGGCUCGGGCGGGGCGCGCGGCCCGGGAGGCACCCCGGCGGGCUCUUGCCGCUGCACGGCGCGCUGCCCGGGCCGGCGGCGGCGGCGGCGGCAGGACGGGCGCGGCGCUCGGCCGAGGAGGAGCGGGAGCCAGGCCGCCGCCGCCGCGCCAGCAGCAGCAGCAGCGGCAGCAGCUUCGUGGCCAUGGUGGACAACCUGCGCGGCAAGUCGGGGCAGGGCUACUACGUGGAGAUGACGGUGGGCAGCCCCCCGCAGAAGCUGAAUAUCCUGGUGGACACUGGAAGCAGCAACUUUGCUGUGGGCGCAGCCCCUCAUCAGUUCCUGCAGCGAUACUAUCAGCGCCAGCUCUCCAGCACCUACCGGGACCUGCAGAAGGGAGUCUAUGUGCCCUACACGCAAGGAAAAUGGGAGGGAGAGCUGGGCACUGA